GACAGAGGGUGCAAACGUUGUUCGGAAUUACUGGGCGUAAAGCGCGUGUAGGCUGACCGGAAAGUCGGGCGUGAAAUCCCUGAGCUCAACUCAGGAACUGCACUCGAAACUCUCGGUCUAGAGUGGUGGAGAGGGAAGUGGAAUUCCUGGUGUAGAGGUGAAAUUCGUAGAUAUCAGGAGGAACACCAGUGGCGAAGGCGGCUUCCUGGACACCAACUGACGCUGAGACGCGAAAGCGUGGGGAGCAAACAGG
This 253-nucleotide ribosomal RNA is filed under the name uncultured bacterium. Its description in RNAcentral is "partial 16S ribosomal RNA". It matches the Rfam family "Bacterial small subunit ribosomal RNA", at positions 524 to 776 of the family's 1533-position model. The record is from RNAcentral.